UUUCCUAAAUCGCGCAACCCCUAGUAUAGUUAAUUGGGCUGGGACUGGGCUGCGUGUUUGCUCUUGCUAGUCGCGCGCCGCCGCGCUAACAUGUUCCUUCGCUCUUGUUCGUGACACUCCCCUGCUGCCGCCCUGUGCUCUGUUGUUUUCUUAUUCGCUCGUAGGUGAGAAUUUCAUCGAGGAUUGGGCGGGAGCUUGGACUUAGCGGCCAGGAGUAGCGACGCGGAGCUGGGAAUUGUAGGAGUGCCUGGGCCUCACGGUACCGUGAGCACAUGCAUGGGUUUGCACCCUUGAGAGCGUGUGGACACUAAUCCCCCCUCGAGGUUAGAGUAGCGGGGGUUGCGCGAUUUCCGGUUGGUAAGACCGGCGGCUCAACGCAGCAGGUAUGCGAGGUAACUUCAGGUAACAUCCGUAAACCGUCGCUUUGCUGCAUCGCAUACACUGUCUUUGCGCAACGUUUUCCUUGUGCUCUUUAACACAAGUGCGCGAGCCGGUUCAUGUCCCGCGGGCGUGCCGGGGCCUCUAGGGCUCGUGUUUUAGCGACUUGAUUUGUGAGUGUAUGGACAAUUUCUGGUGGUGAAAUUGCCCUAUGCUCACAAAUCUGUCGAAGGGUAAUUUUCGGCGUCCUACUCAGUGCUGUGCUGCGUGCCGUCGCGUCUGGACGAUGCUACCGAAAAUUGCUAUCUUGUCGGAGUUUUGGGCACUAGGCCUGGAGCCCGUUCCGCGGGGUCGGGGACCGGGCUGGGGGCCUUGUGGCGCCUCGGGCGCGCCGUGUUCCUCCUGCUUGUCGCGUUCCUCUGAUUUGCGCCAUAACCUGUACUGACUUUGGGCCCGCCCUCCCCGUGCCGCUGCCCCGCGGCAUCGACGUCCCCAUAAGCUGUACGUGUACUUGGACCUGGUGCUACAUGGCCGCAUGAGGGGAGUACCUAGCGUGUGCCGCCUCCGUCACACCAUGGAGUGGGGAGCGGGGGUUUUUCCCCCGCCAGCCCAUGGUGCUGACACCCCAUUUGCAUUUGCCGUCAUGCAUGCGCCCAUGCCGUCCCCCGCCUGUUUACUUGCUCGUGGUCGCCCACCCUCCGUCUCUUUCCUAAAUCGCGCAACCCCUAGUAUAGUUAAUUGGGCUGGGACUGGGCUGCGUGUUUGCUCUUGCUAGUCGCGCGCCGCCGCGCUAACAUGUUCCUUCGCUCUUGUUCGUGACACUCCCCUGCUGCCGCCCUGUGCUCUGUUGUUUUCUUAUUCGCUCGUAGGUGAGAAUUUCAUCGAGGAUUGGGCGGGAGCUUGGACUUAGCGGCCAGGAGUAGCGACGCGGAGCUGGGAAUUGUAGGAGUGCCUGGGCCUCACGGUACCGUGAGCACAUGCAUGGGUUUGCACCCUUGAGAGCGUGUGGACACUAAUCCCCCCUCGAGGUUAGAGUAGCGGGGGUUGCGCGAUUUCCGGUUGGUAAGACCGGCGGCUCACCGCAGCAGGUAUGCGAGGUAACUUCAGGUAACAUCCGUAAACCGUCGCUUUGCUGCAUCGCAUACACUGUCUUUGCGCAACGUUUUCCUUGUGCUCUUUAACACACACACACACACACACACACACACACACACACACACACACACACACACACAUUCUCCACGUACGCGCAAUCAGCAUACUCUCCGCAUGUGGUGCGGUGUAAUUUGUAACCCCAGCCCAACCUGCGGCAUGCACUACCG
This 1700-nucleotide long non-coding RNA is filed under the name Chlamydomonas reinhardtii. Its description in RNAcentral is "long non-coding RNA (CREI_LNC001182)". Lineage: Eukaryota; Viridiplantae; Chlorophyta; Chlorophyceae; Chlamydomonadales; Chlamydomonadaceae. The record is from RNAcentral.